Molecule: transfer RNA, 85 nt
Filed under: Candidatus Woesearchaeota archaeon
Lineage: Archaea; Nanobdellati; Candidatus Woesearchaeota
Also listed under: 1 other name
Description: tRNA-Leu
Rfam family: tRNA
About the family: Transfer RNA (tRNA) molecules are approximately 80 nucleotides in length. Their secondary structure includes four short double-helical elements and three loops (D, anti-codon, and T loops).
Source: RNAcentral
GGCGCCGUAGCAAAGUUGGCCAAAUGCGCCGGACUUAAGAUCCGGUCCCUUAGUGGGUUCGCAGGUUCAAAUCCUGCCGGCGCCA